UAUGCGGACCGGAAUGCCGCCCGGAAACAGAGACACCGGGAGGAAAGUCCGGGCCCGGUUACGGGGUACCGGUUAAUUGCCGGGAGGCGGUCCCACCGUCUACAGAAAGUGCAACAGAAAGAUACCGCCCUCCGACCGGUAACGGCCGGGGGGUAAGGGUGAAAUGGUGAGGUAAGAGCUCACCGCUUCCGCCGAGAGGCUGAAGGCACGGUAAACCUUGCCCCGGGCAAAACCAAGCAGCAGAUCAACUGUAUGGAUAUCCCAUACAGUCUGCGGGUAGGUUGCUGGAAGCUCAAUAGAGCUCAAGACAGAUGGCAUUCGUAAACAGAACCCGGCUUACCGGUCCGCAUCUUUU
Molecule: RNase P RNA, 355 nt
Filed under: Salinispira pacifica
Lineage: Bacteria; Pseudomonadati; Spirochaetota; Spirochaetia; Spirochaetales; Spirochaetaceae
Description: Bacterial RNase P class A
Rfam family: Bacterial RNase P class A
About the family: Ribonuclease P (RNase P) is a ubiquitous endoribonuclease, found in archaea, bacteria and eukarya as well as chloroplasts and mitochondria. Its best characterised activity is the generation of mature 5'-ends of tRNAs by cleaving the 5'-leader elements of precursor-tRNAs.
Source: Rfam by way of RNAcentral